RNAcentral lists this ribosomal RNA (279 nucleotides) under uncultured bacterium. Its description in RNAcentral is "partial 16S ribosomal RNA". It matches the Rfam family "Bacterial small subunit ribosomal RNA", at positions 506 to 784 of the family's 1533-position model. The record is from RNAcentral.
UGCCAGCCGCCGCGGUAAUACGGAGGGUGCAAGCGUUGUUCGGAAUUAUUGGGCGUAAAGCGCGUGUAGGCGGUUCGUUAAGUCUGAUGUGAAAGCCCGGGGCUCAACCCCGGAAGUGCAUUGGAAACUGGCGAACUUGAGUACGGGAGAGGAAAGUGGAAUUCCGAGUGUAGGGGUGAAAUCCGUAGAUAUUCGGAGGAACACCAGUGGCGAAGGCGGCACACUGGGUCUUAACUGACGCUGAGGCACGAAAGCUAGGGUAGCGAACGGGAUUAGAUA